This is a long non-coding RNA of Mya arenaria, 779 nucleotides long. RefSeq lists it as uncharacterized. The transcript has 3 exons. The record is from RefSeq and is a predicted model, not a curated record. NCBI's taxonomy places the organism in Eukaryota, Metazoa, Mollusca, Bivalvia, Myida, Myidae.
UUUCGAUCGUUAAUUGAUACGUGCAAACAGUUUAGUUUUGUGUGCUUUCUACUGAGUACAUGCUGCUGGAACUUUGUUUUGGCAAUCAACACGCUUCAGUUGCCAUAUUUUAUUUCCGAGACAAAAACUCACCAAGAUAUCGCCGGUGUUAUGAUGGUUUUUUCGAUCUCGAAUCUAGCAGGCCGCAUCCUUGGCGUUGUAUUAGUGUUCUUGCAAAGAAUAAACCUAAUAACACUGCACAUCAUUUCGCUGGGACUUCUAGGAGCGUUUGUUACUGCCUUUCCUCUUUACAACCACCUUACCAACUCUGAGUACGUAUUUGCUGCAUUUUGUGGGCUAUUAACUGGCUUACCGAAUUGCCUUAUGGUGCCAAUUUCACUUCAACUCGCAGACGUGUCUAGGCUGUCCGCAGCGCAUGGUUUGAGUUCAUUUGCUUGUGGUGUUGGCGUUAUUAUAGGACCACCCAUUGCAAGCGUUUGCUACGAGAGUUCUGGGUCCUACAAUAGUAGCUUUAUUGUUGCAGGUGUUGUGGCAUUAGCUGGAGCUGCAUUCAGUAUACUUACUGCCGUGUUCGAAAAACGUACAGAUACAGUGAAGAUCGUUUUAUCACAAUAAUGUUUCAUGAGAUCAUUAUUUUCAAACCGACUUUCGAAGCGAAAGGAGUGAUAUCAUUUGGUGAAAGGAUGUUUGUCAGUAGAAAUAUAUAUUAAACUAUGUGUAAGACGUGCAAAGCGAUGAUCUUUUCAUUUUAUUUAAACAUAUAAGAGACAAAGAAUGUA